RNAcentral lists this ribosomal RNA (587 nucleotides) under uncultured bacterium. RNAcentral's name for it is "bacterial SSU rRNA". It matches the Rfam family "Bacterial small subunit ribosomal RNA", at positions 102 to 685 of the family's 1533-position model. The record is from RNAcentral.
ACGGGUGAGUAAUACAUCGGAACGUGCCCAGUAGUGGGGGAUAGCCCGGCGAAAGCCGGAUUAAUACCGCAUACGACCUACGGGUGAAAGCGGGGGAUCGCAAGACCUCGCGCUAUUGGAGCGGCCGAUGUCAGAUUAGGUAGUUGGUGGGGUAAAGGCCUACCAAGCCGACGAUCUGUAGCUGGUCUGAGAGGACGACCAGCCACACUGGGACUGAGACACGGCCCAGACUCCUACGGGAGGCAGCAGUGGGGAAUUUUGGACAAUGGGCGCAAGCCUGAUCCAGCCAUGCCGCGUGCGGGAAGAAGGCCUUCGGGUUGUAAACCGCUUUUGUCAGGGAAGAAACGCACUGAGCUAAUACCUCGGUGUAAUGACGGUACCUGAAGAAUAAGCACCGGCUAACUACGUGCCAGCAGCCGCGGUAAUACGUAGGGUGCGAGCGUUAAUCGGAAUUACUGGGCGUAAAGCGUGCGCAGGCGGCUUUGCAAGACAGAUGUGAAAUCCCCGGGCUUAACCUGGGAACUGCAUUUGUGACUGCAUGGCUAGAGUGCGGCAGAGGGGGAUGGAAUUCCGCGUGUAGCAGUGAA